This 118-nucleotide signal recognition particle RNA is filed under the name Alkalilimnicola ehrlichii MLHE-1. RNAcentral's name for it is "SRP RNA; RNA component of signal recognition particle". The stretch from base 9 to 105 matches the Rfam family "Bacterial small signal recognition particle RNA". From Rfam's summary of the family: The signal recognition particle (SRP) is a universally conserved ribonucleoprotein involved in the co-translational targeting of proteins to membranes. Archaeal SRP consists of a 7S RNA and homologues of the eukaryotic SRP19 and SRP54 proteins. In most bacteria, the SRP consists of a 4.5S RNA and the Ffh protein (a homologue of the eukaryotic SRP54 protein). The record is from RNAcentral. Lineage: Bacteria; Pseudomonadati; Pseudomonadota; Gammaproteobacteria; Chromatiales; Ectothiorhodospiraceae.
GGCGGCGGUGCCGGUCCCCUCGCGACGAUAAACCGUGAAUUCCGUCAGGCCCGGAAGGGAGCAGCGGCAGCGGUGGACUCGGGCGCCGGGGUGUGGCUGGUAUCCGCCGCCUCCAUCU